RNAcentral lists this long non-coding RNA (1800 nucleotides) under Marmota monax (woodchuck). The record is from RNAcentral. Lineage: Eukaryota; Metazoa; Chordata; Mammalia; Rodentia; Sciuridae.
CUCUCUUUUUUUUUUUUUCAGAGUAGAAAUUAGAAGUUUAUUAAAGGACAGCAGAAAAGACUUCUCCCGGAGGAUGAAGGGGACCCAAGAGGUGGAAUCCGUGGAAGUGCGGUUGUCUCCCCUUUUUAUAGUUUUGGUGAUGGAAUGUAAGGGGGAAGGGUUGGGACACAGGUGAGCCAAACAAGUAAUCUGGGCAGGAAGGACUUCAUUAUCACUUCUUUGGGAUGGGCUAUCUCCAAAUCUGUUGGGGGCUGUUUCCUGGGUUCCAUUAACAUUCCUUUGGGAUGGACUUUGGGCCUAGGGGCUAAGGUUUAUCUCAAUAGGAAAAAUUAGAAGAGAAUGACAAAGUUGAAUAUUUAUGCCACUCAUUAGGGUUAUAGAAGAUCCCAAAUUGUACAGAAUCAACUUAAUCAAUUAGUAAAAUGGUUUAGAUGCAACAGGGAAAUGUGAUGGGUAGUAAAAUAACUUCUAGAUAAAGACAGGUUAACUCAACCUCAAUUCUGCUACAUACUAGCUGUGCCAUUUUGGACAAAUUACUUAAGCACUCUGGGUUUCAGGCUGACUCAUCUAUAAGCUGGAGAUUAAAUAAUAGCACUUCAUAUAGCAUCCUGGGAGAAUGAAAAGCAAUGUGUUCAAAGUACUAAAUUUGGAAUCUGGCACAUGGUGUGCUUGUGGUGAAUAUUAAUUAUCAUUGUUUUUAAUAAAUAUUUACAUUGUGCUUGCUACAUGCUAGGCACUGUUUUAACUUAGCAAAAAGUUAUGUGCUAAGCACUAUUUUAAAAUUGUACAGAUAUUAAUCCAUUUGAUCCUCAUAACAGUCCUGUGAGACAGGUACUAUCAUUAUCAUCAUUAUUAUCAUCAUCAUCAUCUCUCAUAGACAAGGAAAUUGAAGUCCAGAGAUUAAGUAAUUUAGGACAACACAGGCAGUAAGAGCCAGUAAUUCAAAUUCAAACAAUCCACUUCCACCAACUGUGAUUCCCACACACCCUAUAUGGCAUUGGGAUUGAACCCAGGGACACUGAGUCACUGAGCUACAGCAGCAGGCUUUUUUAUUCUGAAACAGAGCCUCUCUAAAAUGCACAGUCUGACCUCAAACUCAGCCUCCAUAGUAGUUGGAAUGACAGGCAAGCAACUCUGUGCCUGGCCAGAGACCAUGCUGUUGACUAAAUCAGGCUUCAUCAUCAUCCUUGCUGCUGCCAUCAUCAUCAUCAUCAUCAUCACCACCACCAUCCUCUUGAACCAGAAAAUGAAGGUGAUGCAUGAGGAAUUAAUUUGUAUGUGUUAAUUGAUUAUUAAAGUUUUAUCUACACAACAAAUGGUUUCAUAAAAUGUGUACAUCACUCAUGUAAACUGAAUUAUAUUUUAAGUAAAAAUUUGGACUUGGAGAUAAAAAUAUACUUUUGGAAUCAUUUGGAUGGUUAGCAGGACUGUUAGGUCAAAAAAGAAAAGAAAAACAAAAAACCCUGGGUCUCAGAGUCAGUGUAUGUUUCUCUUCUCUCCUCUCUCCUCUUCUCUUCUCUCUCUCUCUCUCUCUCUCUCUCUCUGAACUGAGGAUUUAAUCCAGUGGUGCUUACCACUGGAUUUUAUCCCUAUCUCUUUUUAUGUUUUAUUUUGAGUCAAGGUCUCAUUUAGUUGCUUUGGGCCUCACUAAAUUGCUGAGGCUGGCCUGGAAUUUUUGAUCCUCUUGUCUCAGCCUUCCAAGUCACUGGGAUUAAAAGCAUACACCAUGUGCCCAGCUAAAUUUGCCUAGCUUUCUCCUCCUCUUCUUAUAGGAUUGCUACAAAAAACAUUCCAUUAAUA